UGCCAGCCGCCGCGGUAAUACAGAGGGUGCGAGCGUUAAUCGUAAUUACUGGGCGUAAAGCGUGCGUAGGCGGUUAAUUAAGUCAGAUGUUAAAGCCCUGGGCUCAACCUGGGAAUUGCAUUUGAUACUGGUUAACUUGAGUAUGGGAGAGGGAAGUGGAAUUUCCGGUGUAGCGGUGAAAUGCGUAGAUAUCGGAAGGAACACCAGUGGCGAAGGCGACUUCAUGGACCAUUAAUGAAGCUGAGGCAAGAACUCGUGGGGCGCAAACAGUAUUAGAUC
Molecule: ribosomal RNA, 279 nt
Filed under: uncultured bacterium
Lineage: Bacteria
Description: partial 16S ribosomal RNA
Rfam family: Bacterial small subunit ribosomal RNA
Source: RNAcentral